This 630-nucleotide ribosomal RNA is filed under the name uncultured bacterium. RNAcentral's name for it is "bacterial SSU rRNA". It matches the Rfam family "Bacterial small subunit ribosomal RNA", at positions 28 to 646 of the family's 1533-position model. The record is from RNAcentral.
AUUGAACGCUGGCGGCAGGCCUAACACAUGCAAGUCGAACGGUAGCACAGAGGAGCUUGCUCCUUGGGUGACGAGUGGCGGACGGGUGAGUAAUGUCUGGGAAACUGCCCGAUGGAGGGGGAUAACUACUGGAAACGGUAGCUAAUACCGCAUAACGUCGCAAGACCAAAGAGGGGGACCUUCGGGCCUCUUGCCAUCGGAUGUGCCCAGAUGGGAUUAGCUAGUAGGUGGGGUAACGGCUCACCUAGGCGACGAUCCCUAGCUGGUCUGAGAGGAUGACCAGCCACACUGGAACUGAGACACGGUCCAGACUCCUACGGGAGGCAGCAGUGGGGAAUAUUGCACAAUGGGCGCAAGCCUGAUGCAGCCAUGCCGCGUGUAUGAAGAAGGCCUUCGGGUUGUAAAGUACUUUCAGCGAGGAGGAAGGUGCUGUGGUUAAUAACCGCAGCAAUUGACGUUACUCGCAGAAGAAGCACCGGCUAACUCCGUGCCAGCAGCCGCGGUAAUACGGAGGGUGCAAGCGUUAAUCGGAAUUACUGGGGCGUAAAGCGCACGCAGGCGGUCUGUCAAGUCGGAUGUGAAAUCCCCGGGCUCAACCUGGGAACUGCAUCCGAAACUGGCAGGCUAGAG